GAAUAUUGGACAAUGGGCGAAAGCCUGAUCCAGCAAUGCCGCGUGUGUGAAGAAGGCCUGCGGGUUGUAAAGCACUUUCGGUGGGGAAGAUUAUGACGGUACCCACAGAAGAAGCACCGGCUAACUCCGUGCCAGCAGCCGCGGUAAUACGGAGGGUGCGAGCGUUAAUCGGAAUUACUGGGCGUAAAGCGCGCGUAGGCGGUUUAGUAAGUCGGAUGUGAAAGCCCCGGGCUUAACUUGGGAAUUGCGUUCGAUACUGCUGGACUAGAGUAUGGUAGAGGGAAGUGGAAUUCCGGGUGUAGCGGUGAAAUGCGUAGAUAUCCGGAGGAACACCAGUGGCGAAGGCGGCUUCCUGGACCAAUACUGACGCUGAGGUGCGAAAGCGUGGGGAGCAAACAGG
RNAcentral lists this ribosomal RNA (400 nucleotides) under uncultured bacterium. Its description in RNAcentral is "bacterial SSU rRNA". It matches the Rfam family "Bacterial small subunit ribosomal RNA", at positions 359 to 776 of the family's 1533-position model. The record is from RNAcentral.